CCAGGGGAGCCCUGGGUGGACAGGAAGAAUUUGAAGUUUUGGAAUUAUUUGGGACAAUGAGCUCUGAGUGCCUGAACUGAAGCUGAAUUAAACCGAAGGUUUUCUCAUCCAUUGGCUUUGACUCAAUGCACUGUAGACAAAUUAAGUGAUAAAAUGAUCACUCAAGGAAAAAGGCAUCCACCUUCUCCUAAACAGAUUCUGAUAGGAGCCUCGAGCUUCACUUCCUUUUGAGACUUGUCCUUUUUCUCAAAAAACUGGAGCACUUCUAUGGAGAGACCAUGGAUUCUUCCUGAAGAUGUAGUGUUUGCUGGGGUGUUGAACAGGCCACAAAUGGAGGAAGAGAGCAAUGGAGAACUUUUAAUCUAUCCAACUAUAUUCUGCAAACUUGGAAUGUAGUAUCUGCUCAGUGAGGCAUGAAGCCUGAAGAAACACAGUUUUCUCCAGUUGACUUUGGUUCCACAGUUACUGAAGAAUUUCUACUUUAAUGAGGGGAACAAGCCUGUGAAGACACAAGUUUUGGCAGAAUUGCAGUGGUCUGCAUUGGAAUAUGGUGAGUCCAGUGACUUUCAGAGUAGAUUGCCUGCAGUGGUUGUCCACUUUUUUAAAAACGGAAUUUGUUCUUCUUGUGUGGUUUGUAUCCCUG
Molecule: long non-coding RNA, 643 nt
Filed under: Calidris pugnax (ruff)
Lineage: Eukaryota; Metazoa; Chordata; Aves; Charadriiformes; Scolopacidae
Description: lncRNA (ENSCPUG00000017124.1)
Source: RNAcentral